UACGUAGGGUGCGAGCGUUAAUCGGAACUACUGGGCGUAAAGCGUGCGCAGGCGGCGCGUUAAGACAGGUGUGAAAGCCCCGAGCUUAACUUGGGAAUUGCGCUUGUGACUGGCGUGCUGGAGUGUGGCAGAGGGAGGUGGAAUUCCACGUGUAGCAGUGAAAUGCGUAGAGAUGUGGAGGAACACCGAUGGCGAAGGCAGCCUCCUGGGCCAGCACUGACGCUCAUGCACGAAAGCGUGGGGAGCAAACAGG
Molecule: ribosomal RNA, 253 nt
Filed under: uncultured bacterium
Lineage: Bacteria
Description: partial 16S ribosomal RNA
Rfam family: Bacterial small subunit ribosomal RNA
Source: RNAcentral